GCUUUGUUUGGGUCCAUAUAUUUUAAUGUGUGGUGGUACUUAAGACUAUAUAGUAGAAGUAUUCUCUAAUAUACACUACUGGUUUUAUCUCUGUUCUCUGGUAUACUGUGAGUCAUCUAGUGAGCACAAGUCUUCUAGACCGUAUUACUUGUAUGGAUUUUCAAGUAUCGUUAUUUUAUGUUUUUUGCUAGAUCUACAUAGUCUCUUAGAUACUUUUAAUUUUUUAAGACACCUCCUUUCAUUGUGAUUUCAAGUCGAA
RNAcentral lists this unclassified non-coding RNA (259 nucleotides) under Hevea brasiliensis (rubber tree). The record is from RNAcentral. Lineage: Eukaryota; Viridiplantae; Streptophyta; Magnoliopsida; Malpighiales; Euphorbiaceae.